AGGGGAUAAAAUGUAGUGCAUGUAGCAGUUGAAACAAUUAUAACUGUUAUUGUGCAUGGAUGAACUUCGAGGAAGUGUGAAUAGAGAACCUUUUGUGCUUGUGAACUAAAUGGUUGAGAUUAUUAAGACCUAAAAGUUCAUUACCAAAAAGUAUCUAAUUGUUAUAGUAAUUAGCUUUACGUUUCAUUUAGCAUUGCAGGUUCGGUGGACCUCGGAGGAGAGGAAGUGGUCCUUGUAUUUUACUCUUUUGUAGAAAUAAAAAAGCCUUUGAGUAGUUACUGAGCUACUUAUUGGUUCUUGGAAGAGCACUCACAUCCUUUUAUUUUCAUGGAGAUCACAAAUGACCUUUUAAU
RNAcentral lists this long non-coding RNA (353 nucleotides) under Salvia miltiorrhiza (redroot sage). RNAcentral's name for it is "long non-coding RNA (SMIL_LNC012662)". The record is from RNAcentral. Lineage: Eukaryota; Viridiplantae; Streptophyta; Magnoliopsida; Lamiales; Lamiaceae.